This 129-nucleotide ribosomal RNA is filed under the name uncultured bacterium. Its description in RNAcentral is "partial 16S ribosomal RNA". The record is from RNAcentral.
UCGUUGCCUUGGUGGGCCGUUGCCCCGCCAACAAGCUAAUGCGCCAUAGGUCCAUCCCUGCGCUAUCCCAUAAAGGAUAUUUGGCAUGAGCUCCAUGCGGUGCUCAUGGCUAUGCGGUAUUAGCAGGAG